RNAcentral lists this ribosomal RNA (469 nucleotides) under Veillonella dispar. Its description in RNAcentral is "bacterial SSU rRNA". It matches the Rfam family "Bacterial small subunit ribosomal RNA", at positions 28 to 467 of the family's 1533-position model. The record is from RNAcentral. Lineage: Bacteria; Bacillati; Bacillota; Negativicutes; Veillonellales; Veillonellaceae.
GACGAACGCUGGCGGCGUGCUUAACACAUGCAAGUCGAACGAAGAGCGAUGGAAGCUUGCUUCUAUCAAUCUUAGUGGCGAACGGGUGAGUAACGCGUAAUCAACCUGCCCUUCAGAGGGGGACAACAGUUGGAAACGACUGCUAAUACCGCAUACGAUCUAACCUCGGCAUCGAGGAUAGAUGAAAGGUGGCCUCUAUUUAUAAGCUAUCACUGAAGGAGGGGAUUGCGUCUGAUUAGCUAGUUGGAGGGGUAACGGCCCACCAAGGCGAUGAUCAGUAGCCGGUCUGAGAGGAUGAACGGCCACAUUGGGACUGAGACACGGCCCAGACUCCUACGGGAGGCAGCAGUGGGGAAUCUUCCGCAAUGGACGAAAGUCUGACGGAGCAACGCCGCGUGAGUGAUGACGGCCUUCGGGUUGUAAAGCUCUGUUAAUCGGGACGAAAGGCCUUCUUGCGAAUAGUAGAAGG